ACAAAUGCUUCUUGGGAUCUCACUAAAAUGCAGAUUCUGAUUCAGUGAGCCUGAGGAGAGACCUCAGAGUCUGCAUUUCUAAUAAGCUCCCAGGAAUAGGGAG
RNAcentral lists this microRNA precursor (103 nucleotides) under Marmota monax (woodchuck). Lineage: Eukaryota; Metazoa; Chordata; Mammalia; Rodentia; Sciuridae. The record is from RNAcentral.